ACUUAGUGGCAGACGGGUGAGUAACAUGUGGGUAUCUACCCUUUGGCCUGGAAUAACACGAGGAAACUUGUGCUAAUACCGGAUAAGUCUUUACGGAGAAAGCUUUAUGCACCAUUGGAUGAGCCCGCACUUGAUUAGUUUGUUGGUAGGGUAAUGGCCUACCAAGACUAUGAUCAAUAGCUGAUUUGAGAGGAUGAUCAGCCACAUUGGGACUGAGACACGGCCCAAACUCCUACGGGAGGCAGCAGUGGGGAAUCUUGCACAAUGGAGGAAACUCUGAUGCAGCGAUGCCGCGUGAGUGAAGAAGGCCUUUGGGUUGUAAAGCUCUUUCGUCGGGGAAGAAAAUGACUGUACCCGAAUAAGAAGGUCCGGCUAACUUCGUGCCAGCAGCCGCGGUAAUACGAAGGGACCUAGCGUAGUUCGGAAUUACUGGGCUUAAAGAGUUCGUAGGUGGUUGAAAAAGUUGGUGGUGAAAUCCCAGAGCUUAACUCUGGAACUGCCAUCAAAACUUUUCAGCUAGAGUAUGAU
This 528-nucleotide ribosomal RNA is filed under the name uncultured Pelagibacterales bacterium. Its description in RNAcentral is "bacterial SSU rRNA". It matches the Rfam family "Bacterial small subunit ribosomal RNA", at positions 90 to 652 of the family's 1533-position model. Lineage: Bacteria; Pseudomonadati; Pseudomonadota; Alphaproteobacteria; Candidatus Pelagibacterales. The record is from RNAcentral.